This is a long non-coding RNA of Camarhynchus parvulus, 378 nucleotides long. RefSeq lists it as uncharacterized. The transcript is spliced from 3 exons. NCBI's taxonomy places the organism in Eukaryota, Metazoa, Chordata, Aves, Passeriformes, Thraupidae. The record is from RefSeq and is a predicted model, not a curated record.
ACAUUUGGAGAGAAACAAACAGCAGGAUACUCUUGUCCAAGCAAGCAGUUACUUUCCUUCCCCUGAGAGAGCUUCGAGGUGCUUCUUGGAGUCAUUCUGCUAAUCCUGGCUGCAGCCCAACAAGGCUUCCCUGCAGUGUAAUGGAGUUCUCUGUGCCUGAGCAGGUUCUGUCCCACUGACCCCCUGACAGUGGCAGCACACAAUGUGCUCAUGUGGCUUUGUUGAUACCAGCACUAAAUUCCUGUGUGGCAUCUGCUGUGACAAGAGACAGACCUGCUUGAGCAACCACAGUUUCUCCUCAUGGCGCUGCUGAGAAAUGGUGGAAUAUAGGUACAGUCCCAGGCCAUGCCAGCUACAUCUUCGCUGCUUUUCAGUGCC